RNAcentral lists this ribosomal RNA (501 nucleotides) under uncultured bacterium. Its description in RNAcentral is "partial 16S ribosomal RNA". It matches the Rfam family "Bacterial small subunit ribosomal RNA", at positions 30 to 523 of the family's 1533-position model. The record is from RNAcentral.
AUUGAACGCUGGCGGCAGGCUUAACACAUGCAAGUCGAGCGGGGUGAUGGUGCUUGCACUAUCACUUAGCGGCGGACGGGUGAGUAAUGCUUAGGAAUCUGCCUAUUAGUGGGGGACAACAUCUCGAAAGGGAUGCUAAUACCGCAUACGUCCUACGGGAGAAAGCAGGGGAUCACUUGUGACCUUGCGCUAAUAGAUGAGCCUAAGUCGGAUUAGCUAGUUGGUGGGGUAAAGGCCUACCAAGGCGACGAUCUGUAGCGGGUCUGAGAGGAUGAUCCGCCACACUGGGACUGAGACACGGCCCAGACUCCGACGGGAGGCAGCAGUGGGGAAUAUUGGACAAUGGGGGGAACCCUGAUCCAGCCAUGCCGCGUGUGAAGUAGGCCUUAUGGUUGUAAAGCACUUUAAGCGAGGAGGAGGCUCUUUUGGUUAAUACCCAAGAUGAGUGGACGUUACUCGCAGAAUAAGCACCGGCUAACUCUGUGCCAGCCGCCGCGGUAA